Megalobrama amblycephala (Wuchang bream) is the source of this 388-nucleotide long non-coding RNA. RefSeq lists it as uncharacterized. NCBI's taxonomy places the organism in Eukaryota, Metazoa, Chordata, Actinopteri, Cypriniformes, Xenocyprididae. The transcript has 3 exons. The record is from RefSeq and is a predicted model, not a curated record.
AACGGAGAAAAAAAGAUUGUACCAGUAACUCACUGACAGGGUUUGGUGCCUUUUUUCUGACUGUCGGCCGGAUCUCCGUUAUAACGGUGAUAACAUGAACUGGUUCAUUCCAAGAAUCAACCCUGAUGGCACCAAUUACCCAAGUCAAAGAUCAGAUGGAAAUCUCAAAAGGUCCAAAGAAAAGCUUCAGCCUGAACCCAUCAAGGUGUUUCUCAUCAGAAAGCUUGUCAACUUUGACUCCCGUAAUUAUUGAAAUGUAACACAACACAAACUGACUUUUACUGCAUUUUUAAGGCCUGUUUUGCUUUUCAGUAUGUGUACUUUUUUGCCAUGCUACAGAAGAAAGAAAAUGUUUAAAAUGAUUAAAAAGAAUAUUAUAUGGACAAAU